CAACCCUCAAGCCCCCGGGCUUGGUGUUGGAGACCGGCGAGCCCUCCGGGGCACGCCGCCUCCCAAAUUUAGUGGCGGUCUCGCUGUAGCUUCCUCUGCGUAGUAGCACACCUCGCCCUGGGAAACAGCGUGGCCACGCCGUAAAACCCCCCACUUCUGAAA
This 162-nucleotide unclassified non-coding RNA is filed under the name uncultured Nectriaceae. RNAcentral's name for it is "sequence contains ITS2". Lineage: Eukaryota; Fungi; Ascomycota; Sordariomycetes; Hypocreales; Nectriaceae. The record is from RNAcentral.